ACAGCAGCCGCCGCGGUAAUACGAAGGGGGCUAGCGUUGCUCGGAAUCACUGGGCGUAAAGGGUGCGUAGGCGGGUCUUUAAGUCAGGGGUGAAAUCCUGGAGCUCAACUCCAGAACUGCCUUUGAUACUGAAGAUCUUGAGUUCGGGAGAGGUGAGUGGAACUGCGAGUGUAGAAGUGAAAUUCGUAGAUAUUCGCAAGAACACCAGUGGCGAAGGCGGCUCACUGGCCCGAUACUGACGCUGAGGCACGAAAGCGUGGGGAGCAAACAGGAUUAGAUACCCCCGUAGUCCCUGUCUCUUAUAA
RNAcentral lists this ribosomal RNA (305 nucleotides) under uncultured bacterium. Its description in RNAcentral is "partial 16S ribosomal RNA". It matches the Rfam family "Bacterial small subunit ribosomal RNA", at positions 508 to 809 of the family's 1533-position model. The record is from RNAcentral.